UACGUAGGGGGCAAGCGUUGUCCGGAAUCAUUGGGCGUAAAGAGCGUGUAGGCGGCUCGAUAAGUCUGCUGUGAAAGUCCAGGGCUCAACCCUGGAAGGCCGGUGGAAACUGUCGGGCUAGAGUCCGGAAGAGGCGAGUGGAGUUCCCGGUGUAGCGGUGAAAUGCGCAGAUAUCGGGAGGAACACCAAUGGCGAAGGCAGCUCGCUGGGACGGUACUGACGCUGAGACGCGAAAGCGUGGGGAGCAAACAGG
RNAcentral lists this ribosomal RNA (253 nucleotides) under uncultured bacterium. RNAcentral describes it as "partial 16S ribosomal RNA". It matches the Rfam family "Bacterial small subunit ribosomal RNA", at positions 524 to 776 of the family's 1533-position model. The record is from RNAcentral.